RNAcentral lists this ribosomal RNA (489 nucleotides) under uncultured bacterium. RNAcentral's name for it is "bacterial SSU rRNA". It matches the Rfam family "Bacterial small subunit ribosomal RNA", at positions 17 to 507 of the family's 1533-position model. The record is from RNAcentral.
UCCUGGCUCAGGAUGAACGCUAGCGGCAGGCCUAACACAUGCAAGUCGAGGGGUAUUAGGAGCUUGCUCCUAAGAGACCGGCGCACGGGUGCGUAACGCGUAUGCAAUCUACCUUGUACAGGGGAAUAGCCCAGAGAAAUUGGAUUAAUGCCCCAUAGUAUAAUUGAAUCGCAUGGUUAAUUAUUAAAGUUCCAACGGUACAAGAUGAGCAUGCGUCCCAUUAGUUAGUUGGUAAGGUAACGGCUUACCAAGACAAUGAUGGGUAGGGGUCCUGAGAGGGAGAUCCCCCACACUGGUACUGAGACACGGACCAGACUCCUACGGGAGGCAGCAGUGAGGAAUAUUGGUCAAUGGGCGCAAGCCUGAACCAGCCAUGCCGCGUGCAGGAAGACGGUCCUAUGGAUUGUAAACUGCUUUUAUACAGGAAGAAACAACGCUACGUGUAGCGUCUUGACGGUACUGUAGGAAUAAGGAUCGGCUAACUCCGUG